GGGGACCUGAAGUCGGUAACCGCAAGGAACCGCCUAGGGUAAAAUCGGUAAUUGGGGCUAAGUCGUAACAAGGUAGCCGUAUCGGAAGGUGCGGCUGGAAUACCUCCUUUUUAGAGCUCAUU
RNAcentral lists this ribosomal RNA (122 nucleotides) under Chitinophaga polysaccharea. RNAcentral's name for it is "partial 16S ribosomal RNA". It matches the Rfam family "Bacterial small subunit ribosomal RNA", at positions 1415 to 1533 of the family's 1533-position model. The record is from RNAcentral. RNAcentral also lists the same sequence under 1 other name. Lineage: Bacteria; Pseudomonadati; Bacteroidota; Chitinophagia; Chitinophagales; Chitinophagaceae.